This 408-nucleotide long non-coding RNA is filed under the name Anser cygnoides (Swan goose). Its description in RNAcentral is "lncRNA (ENSACDG00005017132.1)". Lineage: Eukaryota; Metazoa; Chordata; Aves; Anseriformes; Anatidae. The record is from RNAcentral.
AUUAAACACCAGAGAAUCUACAGCAGCCAGCAGCAUUAUAAACACUUCAAGAUUCAAAAUACUGGAAGAACUUUACACAGACAUACAACUUCCUGAGCUCCAGAAAUUCACAUGGGGGGAAUUUGUGACCUGAGAGAAAACAGCUUUCAAACUCUGAAGACACCAGGCACCAGCCAGGAGAUACAUCUGAGGCUGCAUGAGGGCCUUAACCGGCCCUCAUCUUCCUUGGGAGAAAACCAGUGCUGGGAGGAAGCUCCAGUGUCCACCAGUGCUUGGGCGGCUCGGCGGAGCAGAAGCACAGCACAUCUGGUGGGCAUGUGCUGGGGAGCACCGCUGGGUGCUCAGCGGUAUCCACAGCAACUAUAUGAAACAAGGACUAUUUCUUCAUCAAACUGCCAAAAUAAAUAG